CUAAAAUCACUGGAGAUCUCCAUCGGCCCAUCGCCCAUCGUUAGAAAAAGAAAAAAGAAAAAACUCAACUCGCUCAUGGCGGUGGUCUGCAACUCCGUGGCCGCCGCCGUCGCGCCAUAGAUCAGGACGAGGAGGGCGCGGGCGAGGCGAUGGGCCAUCCAGGCGGAAGAAGAGGAUGGCAGCGGCAGAGGGGAAGGAGAGAAGGCCCGGACGGCGGCGUACGGAGGAGAGAACGUGGGUCCAUCGCGCCGACGAGGAGGAGAAGCAACGACGCCGCGGCGGGCGCGAGGUGACCGGCGAGGCGAGGCGGCGGCGCGGCGGUGGUCACUGAUCGGGCGAGCAAGACGAGAGAGACUGCUUGGGACCUCUGAUUAAUGGUAUUUUUUUUUCCUUUCAUUUUCAUCCCAACUAUUUUUUUUUCUUAUCAUAUAUGCUCCAUUAUUACAUAAAAGUAUUUAUAAGAAUAAUCUUGGAUUCUAAGUUCUAAUUUGUAUUUCAAGGAAUUAUGAAGUUUUAGCAUUUCAAGUUGGAUCAUUACCAUAUCUACUAAAUUUCGUAAUUUACAUGUAGGCAUACAGAGGAGCUUAACCAGGUUUACUGCCCAUUACUAAUUAUUUUUCUUCCAACUUGAGGUAUAAUCCUGCACCGGACAAGUAUAGGUAGCUAAAUGCCACGAACAAGACUUAUUAGCGAUGCAUCAACCAUAUGACCUAGAUUACCUACUCAUUUACAUGUAGUAUGUAUCACAAAAAUAAAUGUUUAUGAGUGAUGAUCGUGUCUUCUUCCUUCAUGCUACCAAUUGUGUAGCUAAGAGGCGCAAACUCUGUUAUGUAAAACAACAAUUUCUAGCUUCUCACUUGGGGGGUUCAAACUUGCAAAUUGCAAGCUGAUAAGCCAUUCGUGGGCAUCAUGUUAGAUUGUUUUACACAAAUUAAGUUAUUGUAUCAUAAUAAGAGCCCGUUUGGUACAGCUCCAGCUUCCAACUUCAAUUUACCUGGAGCCGGAGUUGUGCCAAACGGUACAGAUUCUACUUUUUUUUACGGAGCUGCUCCUAAAAAAUAAACUACAAUGGUCGAGCUGGGUUUUUGCUGCUCCACAGCUUCACUCCAUACCAAAAGACCCACUGUCAUUUGUUAUUUUAUUAUAAUUACUCGAAUUUGCCACUCAUGUAGGACUAUAUAUUAUUACUAAACAUUUAUAUUAUAUGUUAACUGUCAUAUAAAAUUCUGUAACCAUAGUUGUGUUGUUCAAAUUAAAAAAAAUAAUUGGUAUUUAAUUAUAUGAAAAAUAAACAUAAUUAAAUUAUGGAUUAAUCAUGACUUCAUAUGAUCCACACAGAUAUUAUUGUCAAUAUACUCUGUAUCUCUCUUUUAGGAGUUCUGGAGCAGACUAAGCUAGCCAAAUAGUUUUGAUCUGCUCUUCAGCUCCCACAAAAGCAACUCUCACUAGAGUUGGGGUUUGAAACUAGGAUAUAGAGUUCAGAGCUCUACCAAACGGGCCCUAAGUGUUUUCUGAUUAGCAAGGCUCUAACUAUAAAACUGAAGUGUGAAAUGAUCUGUACCCUACAUGAUCUUUACCGUGCAUCUUCUUAUACCAGUCUAUACUUCCUCGCACCUUUUUAUUAGAGCUAAAUUGCUUAAUAGUUAUAAAUUCAGUAUUAUAACAUACACUCCCGGCUCCCUCAUCGUCUAACUGUUAAAGAAACAUGUGCGUGGAAGAUGAGUACUUACUCUGUCUCAAAAUAAGGUUUUUUUAGUUUUUAGAUACAAUGUUUUGACUCUUUAUUUUAUUUAAAAUUUUUUAUAAUUGAUAUUAUUAUUAUUAGAUGAUAAAAUAUGAAUAAUAUUUUUUACGCGACUAAUUUUGAGUUUUUUUUUAUAAAUUUUAAUGAAAUCGCUAAAUACAGAAACCGAAAAUUAAAUUUCUUUUUUUGAACAGGGGAGGUGAAGCUAGGAAAAAAGAGUGCCAAAGGCUUCUCGGGCAGCUUUGGGCAUACCCUCACUUUAUACAAUAAUUAACUAUUUACGACUUUACGACUCUUAUAUUUGAUAUUGAAUUAAUGUAUCUAUUAUAUGAAGUCAUAGACACGUAAGAUAAUAAAUCU
This 2104-nucleotide long non-coding RNA is filed under the name Oryza brachyantha (malo sina). Its description in RNAcentral is "long non-coding RNA (OBRA_LNC000066)". Lineage: Eukaryota; Viridiplantae; Streptophyta; Magnoliopsida; Poales; Poaceae. The record is from RNAcentral.